GAUGAACGCUGGCGGCGUGCCUAAUACAUGCAAGUCGAGCGAACAGAUGAGGAGCUUGCUUCUCUGACGUUAGCGGCGGACGGGUGAGUAACACGUGGAUAACCUACCUAUAAGACUGGGAUAACUUCGGGAAACCGGAGCUAAUACCGGAUAAUAUUUUGAACCGCAUGGUUCAAUAGUGAAAGACGGUUUUGCUGUCACUUAUAGAUGGAUCCGCGCUGCAUUAGCUAGUUGGUAAGGUAACGGCUUACCAAGGCAACGAUGCGUAGCCGACCUGAGAGGGUGAUCGGCCACACUGGAACUGAGACACGGUCCAGACUCCUACGGGAGGCAGCAGUAGGGAAUCUUCCGCAAUGGGCGAAAGCCUGACGGAGCAACGCCGCGUGAGUGAUGAAGGUCUUCGGAUCGUAAAACUCUGUUAUUAGGGAAGAACAAAUGUGUAAGUAACUGUGCACGUCUUGACGGUACCUAAUCAGAAAGCCACGGCUAACUACGUG
Molecule: ribosomal RNA, 497 nt
Filed under: uncultured bacterium
Lineage: Bacteria
Description: partial 16S ribosomal RNA
Rfam family: Bacterial small subunit ribosomal RNA
Source: RNAcentral